UACGUAGGGUGCGAGCGUUGUCCGGAAUUAUUGGGCGUAAAGAGCUUGUAGGCGGUUUGUCGCGUCUGCCGUGAAAAUUCGAGGCUCAACCUCGAACUUGCGGUGGGUACGGGCAGACUAGAGUGUGGUAGGGGAGACUGGAAUUCCUGGUGUAGCGGUGGAAUGCGUAGAGAUCCGGAAGAACACCGGUGGCGAAGGCGGCCUGCUGGGCAGUUUUGCUGACACUGAGGCGCGACAGCGUGGGGAGCAAACAGG
This 255-nucleotide ribosomal RNA is filed under the name uncultured bacterium. RNAcentral describes it as "partial 16S ribosomal RNA". It matches the Rfam family "Bacterial small subunit ribosomal RNA", at positions 524 to 776 of the family's 1533-position model. The record is from RNAcentral.